RNAcentral lists this ribosomal RNA (253 nucleotides) under uncultured bacterium. RNAcentral's name for it is "partial 16S ribosomal RNA". It matches the Rfam family "Bacterial small subunit ribosomal RNA", at positions 524 to 776 of the family's 1533-position model. The record is from RNAcentral.
UACGUAGGGGGCAAGCGUUGUCCGGAAUUAUUGGGCGUAAAGAGCGCGUAGGCGGUCCGAUAAGUCGGCUGUGAAAGUCAGGGGCUCAACCCUUGAAAGCCGGCCGAUACUGUCGGACUAGAGUCCGGAAGAGGCAAGUGGAAUUCCCGGUGUAGCGGUGAAAUGCGCAGAUAUCGGGAGGAACACCAAUGGCGAAGGCAGCUCACUGGACCGGAACUGACGCUGAGGUGCGAAAGCGUGGGGAGCAAACAGG